Molecule: ribosomal RNA, 459 nt
Filed under: uncultured bacterium
Lineage: Bacteria
Description: partial 16S ribosomal RNA
Rfam family: Bacterial small subunit ribosomal RNA
Source: RNAcentral
CCUACGGGGGACAGCAGUGAGGAAUAUUGGUCAAUGGUCGGGAGACUGAACCAGCCAAGCCGCGUGAGGGAUGAAGGUACAGAGUAUCGUAAACCUCUUUUGUCAGGGAACAAAGGCGGGGACGUGUCCCCGGAUGAGUGUACCUGAAGAAAAAGCAUCGGCUAACCCCGUGCCAGCAGCCGCGGUAAUACGGAGGAUGCGAGCGUUAUCCGGAUUUAUUGGGUUUAAGGGGUGCGCAGGCGGUCUGUUAAGUUAGCGGCAAAAGCCCGGGGCUCAACCCCGGCCCGCCGUUGAAACUGGCGGUCUCGAGUUGGAGAGAGGUAUGCGGAAUGCGCGGUGUAGCGGUGAAAUGCAUAGAUAUCGCGCAGAACUCCGAUUGCGAAGGCAGCAUGCCGGCUCCACACUGACGCUGAGGCACGAAAGCGUGGGUAUCGAACAGGAUUAGAUACCCCAGUAGUC